AGCGAACGCUGGCGGCAGGCCUAACACAUGCAAGUCGAGCGCCCAGCAAUGGGAGCGGCAGACGGGAGAGUAACACGUGGGAACGUGCCCUUUGGUUCGGAAUAACUCAGGGAAACUUGAGCUAAUACCGGAUAAGCCCUUACGGGGAAAGAUUUAUUGCCAAAGGAGCGGCCCGCGUCCGAUUAGCUAGUUGGUGAGGUAAUGGCUCACCAAGGCGACGAUCGGUAGCUGGUCGAGAGGAUGACCAGCCUCAUUGGGACUGAGACACGGCCCAAACUCCUACGGGAGGCAGCAGUGGGGAAUAUUGGACAAUGGGCGCAAGCCUGAUCCAGCCAUGCCGCGUGAGUGAUGAAGGCCUUAGGGUCGUAAAGCUCUUUUGUGCGGGAAGAUAAUGACGGUACCGCAAGAAUAAGCCCCGGCUAACUUCGUGCCAGCCGCCGCU
Molecule: ribosomal RNA, 442 nt
Filed under: uncultured bacterium
Lineage: Bacteria
Description: bacterial SSU rRNA
Rfam family: Bacterial small subunit ribosomal RNA
Source: RNAcentral